This 2317-nucleotide long non-coding RNA is filed under the name Eucalyptus grandis. RNAcentral describes it as "long non-coding RNA (EGRA_LNC003121)". Lineage: Eukaryota; Viridiplantae; Streptophyta; Magnoliopsida; Myrtales; Myrtaceae. The record is from RNAcentral.
UAUAAAACCCCUGACAAUAAAAUAUGGGAUAGAAAAAGCAGGAAACAAACCACAAUAUAACACUUUCAUAAUUCAACAGAAUUACAAACAGAAGUCUACGGCCAACAGCCUACACAAGACCGGCUCUUAAAAAGGAAUUGUCCUACGACCUACAAGUCGGACACAUUCUCCAGUCUUAUUACUUCACGUCUGCAACUCCUCAAGGCCAACCAAAGCUAUCUGGUCACUCCGUCCACCAGGGACCUGAAAUUUUAAUCCCACAACCGAGAUGAGACGAUGUCUCAGCAAGUUCAACCCCCUAAACCCCUAUUAGAAAGAAAAUACGCCCCGGGUGGCCUAGCCACAUCACACAGAGGACUUACCUCGCCUCAGCCUUUAUCUGCAGAUUAGCACAAUUUAUAUGAACCAACCACGUGCAAUUAUGAUAACCAAACAACCAUGGCACAAUCAUAUUAUCAAACCAUUCAACCACUUGGAUCGUCUCAGCGAUCAAUCAACUCGGCCGAUUAUAUGUCAUUCUAGCAAAUCAAUCAUUGCUCUCAACUACGGCCCUACUCGGCAAAUUUGAAUCAGUGGCAUCACGGCCCCACUCGGCGCGACCUUUAACAGGUGGCAAUUCACGGCCCCAUUGGGCGCGACCUCUAAUAGGUGGCAUAUCACGGCCUCAUCGGGCACGACCUCUAAUAGGUGGUUUAUCACGGUCUCACUGGGCACGACCUCUCAUAGGUGGUUUAUCAUGGCCUCACUGGGCACGACCUCUCAUAGGUGGUAUUUCACGGCCUCAUCGGGCACGACCUCUAUUAGGUGGUAUUUCACGGCCUCAUCGGACACGACCUCUUGUAGGUGGUAUUUCACGGCCUCAUCGGGCACGACCUCUUGUAGGUGGUAUUUCACGGCCUCAUCGGGCACGACCCUUCCUAGGUGGUUAAUCACGGCCUCAUCGGGCACGACCUUUCCUAGGUGGUAUUUCACGGCCUCAUCGGGCACGACCUCUAAUAGGUGGUCAAUCACAUCCAAUCUCCCAUCAAUUUCUACACUUAGGGUUUCAUAAAGAAUCCAUAUAAAUCGCAAUCACACUCAAUUCAUCACAACCAAUCAUCAAUAUCAAAUUCUAAAUACACAGCAACGAUCAGCACGAAAUUAUGGGAGAAUAAGGUUCCAGAAUAAUUUUUCGGAAUUUAUUAAAUAAUUAAAUUUAUUCCGAAAUUAAUUAAAUAAUAAUAUUCAUAUUUUUCAUGAUCCACGCUCAAUUUAUAAUAUCCAAUCAUCAAUUUCAAAAUCCAACUACACAGCAGCGACCGGCACGAAAUUCUGAGCAACCGGGGUCAAAAAUAAUUUUUCCGUUUUUUUUUUUUCAAAUAAUAAUAUUUUAAUAAUUUCGGAAUAUAAUAUAAUAUUAUAAAUUCCAGAAUUCGAAAUCAUUAAAUAAUUCAAAAGUAAAACCCUAUUAUGUCACAUCAAGGCUUUAUAUUAAAAUAAACAUACUUAACUUUAAACUAAACACACUUCAACUUAAUUAAGCAUCUUAAUAUAAUCCUCAACCAAAUAAACUAAUCUAACCACCUAAACUUACUUAACUUAAAAUAAGCACACUUAGGGCAUCAUUAACCGUCUAAUCAAGGUUUAGUGAGUUAAACUCACCGGAUUAGCGAGCCGAGCGGACCAAAACCACGGGGACGACGCGAGGAUCGACUUUCCUCAAAGCGGGCCGAGCAUCCGGGCUCGGGAAGGCGGCCAAAAUGGGCCAAGCAUGGGCUGCCAUACCCAUUUUCUGGGUUGCUGAUCAGGGCCGAGAGGGAGCAGAUCCGACGCCGGUUUAGGUCGGAAACGGGCGGAGGGACGGGGCGGCAGCUCGACGAUGGCUCGGACGGGCGAGGCGGUGGCCAGGCGAGGCCUCCCGGCGGCGAGGACGAGCUCCGGCAGCUCCUGAAACACGCGAGUAGGGGCAGACGGAGGCGGCAGUCCAGGCGAGGCGCGUGCGGGGCGACGCACGGGCGCGCGGGUGCGGGACGACACAGGCGGCGGCGAGCUCCGGCGACGGGCGUGCGGCGUCGAGCUCGGCUGGUCCCGGUCAGCUGCUGCAAGAGAUCUCAGAUCUACUGGGGAAACGGGCUAAGGCGGAGCGGCGAGCUGGUCGGCGAGCGAGCGGACGGCACAAACGGUGGCGGCGAGCGGCGGAGGGGCCGACGGACGGAGCUAGGGGCUGCUGCAUUCAGCUUCUUCCAUUGCUGGGCGUGCGAAGAAGGAGAAGAAGAUGGAGAGAGCUGAAGAAGUCGCACGGUUGGGAGGAAGAAGAGAGGGAGGAGAGAGAAGAAGG